UUGAAUAAAGAUCCAUUUGACUCAAAUACACAAUCACCUGCAAACCAAGUCAAUUGCCUUCUGACAUGCAUCUAAAAUGAAGAAACAAUAUUCAACAUGCCAUACUUCUAGUAAUAACCCAUUGAGGUACAUCAAGAAAUUUUCAAGGCAAAGCCCCAAAAUACAAAAUAUCGAGAAAUAAAAGGGGAGAAAACAAAAAAAGGGACAAGUCUUGAACCAAGAAAUCAAGAAGAACAAGAAGAAAGAUGCCCACAAGAUCAUAUCAUGCCUCCUACUAAGAUAUUCCAUCAUCAACCACAAUUAUUAAAACAAUAAAAAGCAUAUUAUUUUUCUUCUUCCUUUUUUGU
RNAcentral lists this long non-coding RNA (347 nucleotides) under Vitis vinifera (wine grape). RNAcentral's name for it is "long non-coding RNA (VVIN_LNC002366)". Lineage: Eukaryota; Viridiplantae; Streptophyta; Magnoliopsida; Vitales; Vitaceae. The record is from RNAcentral.